Molecule: ribosomal RNA, 1497 nt
Filed under: Microcystis sp. MC19
Lineage: Bacteria; Bacillati; Cyanobacteriota; Cyanophyceae; Chroococcales; Microcystaceae
Description: bacterial SSU rRNA
Rfam family: Bacterial small subunit ribosomal RNA
Source: RNAcentral
AUUCAUCAUGGAGAGUUUGAUCCUGGCUCAGGAUGAACGCUGGCGGCGUGCCUAACACAUGCAAGUCGAACGGGAAUCUUCGGAUUCUAGUGGCGGACGGGUGAGUAACGCGUAAGAAUCUAACUUCAGGACGGGGACAACAGUUGGAAACGACUGCUAAUACCCGAUAUGCCGCAAGGUGAAACCUAAUUGGCCUGAAGAAGAGCUUGCGUCUGAUUAGCUAGUUGGUGGGGUAAAGGCCUACCAAGGCGACGAUCAGUAGCUGGUCUGAGAGGAUGAUCAGCCACACUGGGACUGAGACACGGCCCAGACUCCUACGGGAGGCAGCAGUGGGGAAUAUUCCGCAAUGGGCGAAAGCCUGACGCAGCAACGCCGCGUGAGGGAGGAAGGUCUUUGGAUUGUAAACCUCUUUUCUCAAGGAAGAAGUUCUGACGGUACUUGAGGAAUCAGCCUCGGCUAACUCCGUGCCAGCAGCCGCGGUAAUACGGGGGAGGCAAGCGUUAUCCGGAAUUAUUGGGCGUAAAGCGUCCGCAGGUGGUCAGCCAAGUCUGCCGUCAAAUCAGGUUGCUUAACGACCUAAAGGCGGUGGAAACUGGCAGACUAGAGAGCAGUAGGGGUAGCAGGAAUUCCCAGUGUAGCGGUGAAAUGCGUAGAGAUUGGGAAGAACAUCGGUGGCGAAAGCGUGCUACUGGGCUGUAUCUGACACUCAGGGACGAAAGCUAGGGGAGCGAAAGGGAUUAGAUACCCCUGUAGUCCUAGCCGUAAACGAUGGAUACUAGGCGUGGCUUGUAUCGACCCGAGCCGUGCCGAAGCUAACGCGUUAAGUAUCCCGCCUGGGGAGUACGCACGCAAGUGUGAAACUCAAAGGAAUUGACGGGGGCCCGCACAAGCGGUGGAGCAUGUGGUUUAAUUCGAUGCAACGCGAAGAACCUUACCAAGACUUGACAUGUCGCGAACCCUGGUGAAAGCUGGGGGUGCCUUCGGGAGCGCGAACACAGGUGCUGCAUGGCUGUCGUCAGCUCGUGUCGUGAGAUGUUGGGUUAAGUCCCGCAACGAGCGCAACCCUCGUUCUUAGUUGCCAGCAUUAAGUUGGGCACUCUAAGGAGACUGCCGGUGACAAGCCGGAGGAAGGUGGGGAUGACGUCAAGUCCUCAUGGCCCUUACGUCCAGGGCUACACACGUGACUACAAUGGUCGGUGACAAUGGGCAGCGAUACUCGCGAGAGCCAGCGAAUCCCAGCAAACCCGGCCUCAGUUCAGAUUGCAGUCUGCAACUCGCCUGCAUGAAGGAGGAAUCGCUAGUAAUCGCCGGUCAGCAUACGGCGGUGAAUACGUUCCCGGGCCUUGUACACACCGCCCGUCACACCAUGGAAGCUGGUCACGCCCGAAGUCAUUACCUCAACCGCAAGGAGGGGGAUGCCUAAGGCAGGGCUAGUGACUGGGGUGAAGUCGUAACAAGGUAGCCGUACCGGAAGGUGUGGCUGGAUCACCUCCUUAA